CGGGAACGUACCCUUUGGUUCGGAACAACCCAGGGAAACUUGGGCUAAUACCGGAUAAGUCCGUAAGGAGAAAGAUUUAUCGCCAAAGGAUCGGCCCGCGUCUGAUUAGCUAGUUGGUAGGGUAAUGGCCUACCAAGGCUACGAUCAGUAGCUGGUCUGAGAGGAUGAUCAGCCACAUUGGGACUGCGACACGGCCCAGACUCCUACGGGAGGCAG
RNAcentral lists this ribosomal RNA (216 nucleotides) under uncultured bacterium. RNAcentral describes it as "partial 16S ribosomal RNA". It matches the Rfam family "Bacterial small subunit ribosomal RNA", at positions 118 to 351 of the family's 1533-position model. The record is from RNAcentral.